This 765-nucleotide long non-coding RNA is filed under the name Capra hircus (goat). RNAcentral describes it as "lncRNA (ENSCHIG00000000720.1)". Lineage: Eukaryota; Metazoa; Chordata; Mammalia; Artiodactyla; Bovidae. The record is from RNAcentral.
GUGCAUUUCCUCUGGUUCUGUUAACAUAAUGGGAAUUAAGCAUGUGCAUCGACUGAUAUAUCUCUCCAUAUGCUGGGAAUUUAAUUUCUCAGUCUAGGUGUGUCUUGGAUAAGAGGACUUGCAUUCACUGAGUGCUUCCUGCUGCUGCUGCUGCUGCUGCUGCUGCUGCUAAGUCACUUCAGUCAUGUCUGACUCUGUGACCCCAUAGACGGCAGCCCACCAGGCUCCCCCGUCCCUGGGAUUCUCCAGGCAAGAACACUGGAGUGGUUUGCCAUUUCCUUCUCCAAUGCAUGAAAAUGAAAAGUGAAAGUGAAGUUGCUCAGUCGUGUCUGACUGUUAGCGACCCCAUGGACUGUAGCCUGCCGGGCUCCGCCGUCCAUGGGAUUCUCCAGGGAAGAGUACUGGAGUGGCUUGCCAUUGCCUUCUCUGGAGUGCUUGCUACUCACCAACAACAGUGUACAUCAUCAUAGAUGGCUCACAAUAGCUAUUUACCCCCUACUGGUUUUCUUGCUCUUCUUUGAGUACGGACUCAGUGGCAGCAGCUGUGGAAGUCCUGGAGGUCAGCCCUUCCCAGAAUUCCCUCCGGCUCGUCUUCGUUUCUCUAGGCGGGAUCUCUGUGUCUCCUCUGAGAGCACAGCUUCAAACGGAAUUCACCCAUUGUACGAUGAGGUUGUGAGCUCUCAGAAGGCCAGAACCAUGUUGUAUACCUCUUUUGGCCCCAGUCAGCAUAUUCGAAAGGCCAAGUUUACACAGGACUUUCCAUGA